GCCGGAGUCCGCGGCGGCGGAGGCGGCUGCGGCGAGCAAGGAGGCUGACGACGCACAAUGCAAAGACGGCUUUUCAGAGCAGCCAGUGGGGCAGGACAAUGUUUUUCAUCAAAUGUCCUUAGAUUUGGAGGAGGCCAGGAAAGCGGAAGAGACCUCCAGCUGCACAACGACCUGUCCCCCACACCCAACCACAAGUUUAUGAAGGGAUGCAGAACAGCAUGAAUACUGCAAAAGAUGCUCUGUGCAUCAGAGAAGUGUCCUUACCCGAAUGCAGGUGGACAAGCAGUUAAACACAGUGGCUUUGAGUGUGAAGGCUUCUCCUCGCACCACAGAAUAAGGAAGGAACGUCCAGAAGAGAGAGAUUUAAAUUGCUUUCAGCUAAGCUGUAGACCUCUAGCAGAUGAACGACAUAUUUUCCUGAAGGACUUGCUUCGGUGUGGAAGUGAUUCCGCUGUGAGUUGUGUCUUUUGCGUUGUUGCACUCUUCAUCAUAUUCAUCCGCAGGACCUCCAGCUCUAAAGGGUGUGAAGAGGAUACUGACCCACCAGAAAGAGACCCCACUGCUAGAACGAAUAAGAUGUGCUGAAAGCCGGAGCAUAACUUGGCCAUUCCCAAGAUUUAACAACAAACUAACUACCCAUCAUUAACAGUAAAGAAAGAAAACAAUCAGUAAGAGAUUAUAUAGACCUAAGAGAUGUUACAGACCGAAGAAGAACCUAUGGUGAGUGGCGUUUUAGAGUGUAUCUUAGGCCGGGCACGGUGGCUCACGCCUGUAAUCCCAGCACUUUGGGAGGCCGAGGCGGGCGGAUCACGAAGUCAGGAGAUGGAGACCAUCCUGGCUGACACGGAGGAAGACAGGAAGAUGAGAGAGAUUUGAAGAUGGUAUGUGGCUGAAUUUGAAGAUAGAGAAAGGAACCGCAAGCAAAGAAUGCAAGAGGUCUCUAGAAGCUGGAAAAGGCAAGGAAAGAGUCUCCCCUCAAGCUCCAGCAGGAAUGCAGUCCUGACACCUUGAGUUUAGCCUAGUGAGACUUCUGACCUCCAGAACUAGAAGAUACAAGUGGUGUUUUAAGGCACUAAAACGAAGAACUAGAAGUAUUGUUUUAAGCCCAUAAAUUUGUGAUAAUCUGUUACAGUAGUAAUAGGCAAUGCAUACACAAGCACACAAAGUAAAAUUUUUCUGUGGUUAUUUUCCAUAUUUUUUCAGUUAUUUUCUGCCUUUUGAAGACAUUAAAGACAUAAAAUGAAUAUGUAUUAGUUUAGGAAUAAAAUUUAAAAUGUAGGAAU
Long non-coding RNA from Homo sapiens (human), 1283 nucleotides. Ensembl annotates it as long intergenic non-protein coding RNA 987. NCBI's taxonomy places the organism in Eukaryota, Metazoa, Chordata, Mammalia, Primates, Hominidae. The record is from Ensembl.